AUACGUAGGUGGCGAGCGUUGUCCGGAAUGAUUGGGCGUAAAGGGCGCGUAGGCGGCUUUGCAAGUCAGUAGUGGAAGUCCAUUUUUCAAGGAUGGAAGUGCUACAGAAACUGCAGAGCUUGAGUGCAGGAGAGGUUAUCGGAAUUCCCGGUGUAGCGGUGAAAUGCGUAGAGAUCGGGAGGAACACCAGUGGCGAAGGCGGGUAACUGGACUGCAACUGACGCUGAGGCGCGAAAGUGUGGGGAGCAAACAGGAUUAGAUACCCUGGUAGUCCACACUGUAAACGAUGAAUGCUAGGUGUAGGAGGUAUCGACCCCUUCUGUGCCGCAGUAAACACAGUAAGCAUUCCGCCUGGGGAGUACGGUCGCAAGAUUAAAACUCAAAUGAAUUGGCGGGG
RNAcentral lists this ribosomal RNA (397 nucleotides) under uncultured bacterium. RNAcentral describes it as "partial 16S ribosomal RNA". It matches the Rfam family "Bacterial small subunit ribosomal RNA", at positions 523 to 918 of the family's 1533-position model. The record is from RNAcentral.